Molecule: long non-coding RNA, 313 nt
Organism: Helianthus annuus (common sunflower)
Lineage: Eukaryota; Viridiplantae; Streptophyta; Magnoliopsida; Asterales; Asteraceae
Exons: 3
Source: RefSeq, a predicted model, not a curated record
UCGAUCAGAGCAGGGGAAAAACAAGGGUUAACCCUUGUUCUUGCAAGUUCAUCAAAUCAUCAAGGAAAUGCGAUGUUAAAUGAUUGCAUGUCUUCAAAUUUUCAAGUAGCUCAACAUACCCAAUAGAGUGGAAUCAUGUCGAGACGGAAUCAAGCACGGAAGACUACGGGUCAAGAAGUGGCGAGGAAACAAAUAUGAACACGGAUGCAUGAGGUUAUACGGAUAACGGGCGAAUUAUCACAAGAAUUAGAGAUCGAAGACCGAGUCACGAGAUAGAUUGUACGGGAAUAAUAAGUAUGUACUAUUAGUAAAC